This is a long non-coding RNA of Cavia porcellus (domestic guinea pig), 6899 nucleotides long. RefSeq lists it as uncharacterized. The transcript has 3 exons. Lineage: Eukaryota; Metazoa; Chordata; Mammalia; Rodentia; Caviidae. The record is from RefSeq and is a predicted model, not a curated record.
UCUGUUUAAAUAGCCAGGGAGUCUGGGAUGUCAAGGGGCGGGAGCAGGGGCAGGGAGCCAGUUGGCACCAGUAAGGUAGAGGGACAUGACUGCCUGCUUUCACUCCUCUUGCCUCCUACGGUUCAGGACUACUGCCUCAAGGGACCCCUGCCCUACCCAUGCCUGGCCCUCACCUUCCCUAGAAGCUCACGCUCUCUGGACAUGAAGGAGGAACUAGACUUCACUGAGACAUCCAGCUUUCGCCUGAACACCUCGUCCAUGGGCAUUUCCCACUCAAACCUGGGCAAGAGCACCCCAUACACACCUCCUCUAAAUCAGCAGUAGUGAGCCGAGGGGUCAGACGCUCCAGGCGCAAGUGCAGGCGGCCAGAUGGGACGUCCUCCAGAGUCAGCCACUGUGGGAGCACGUGGGGUAAGACUCAAAUGUCAGGGGAUGGAAGCAAAGAGGAUGAGGUUUGGGUCAAGGUCAGAAGCAACUAUCCAUUCUAAUCUUAUGCUCACCUCAUCCAGGAAGCCACUAUUUAGGACUGUGGUGAGACUCAUUUUACAUCUGUGGAGAAAGAGAAAGACGAGAUAAAUGUUCAAGCUCGAUGAACCCUAGAGGCCCAGCCUGUUUGCUCCUCCAGACCUUACCUGCCCAGAAAGUCAUCCUUGUCCAAGUCCUUGUCAAAGACCUCAGCCUCUAACUCUUGGCCUGGAAUUGAUGUGACGAUCACCUAGCAGGAGAAAACAGUGCAGAUGAAAGAGAAUUUUCUCCUUGUCUUCCCCAAAUAACUGCAUUUUCCACUCCCCUGACCCCCCAGUCACUGAAUCCUGUGGUUUUUGGACCACUCUAGGAGCUUGAAGGAAGAACAGACUGAGUCCUGGCCACUCAGUUCUGACCUCAAAAACCUCAUUCCAGCGAGGGUUGAGAUCUUCCCGAACGACACGGCUUCGGAAGCUUCGUCCUGCCAGCUUUAGUUUGACAUAGGGGUCUGACUUGCCCUUCACCAAUCCCCCCAAGAAACGGUCUUUGGCAAUCAGGUCCUGGGCCUCUAACACAUGAAUCCGAAGCACAUUCUGCAAAAGAAACAGAUGGGGGACCAGAGAGCAGUCAAAGAGACUUCUCAGAAUUAGUUCUGAGCAUGCUGUGCACACUUCAAGUGGGCAAACAGACCUAAAGGUCUUGAGAUAACAACUCACCUCAGUCCCAAAGUGGCUGUCGGGGGUAGUGUGACAGGGCCGAGGCGGAACAUCUACACUGCUGCCUGCUGGGGGGCUUUCACUGUCUAGCUCCCAAGGCCCAGCCGUGCCAGGCAUCAUGGGGAAGCAGAUUUGUGAUGAAUCCAAGUAAAGGAUCUGGGAAAGGUAUGAGAUUGUCCACUCAAGCAGGUGCAUCCAGCAGCCAUGCAUGUAAGGGUUGGUGGGCAGAGCAGGGACUCUGACUGGGACACCAGAUCCCCUGCCUUGGCCAGGUUCAUUCCUAGAUGUUUUUUCCACCCUACCCAACUCCCACACUGUCCCUCCUCCUAGCCAGAUCAAUGAACACUUCCAUGUAUCUGCUGGGUGCUCUUAUCUAAUUCUCUGAUGCCGAGGAAUCCACAGGCCUUCCCCACCUGGUGCCUCCUCACUUCCAUACCCGCAUGACCAGUUUCAUGUAGAGCCUGGAGUUUGGGCCAGAGUUGCUGAGCUGGAACCACUGAUCCAGGGUGAGUUCUGAGGCAGUGAGCAGGCGGGCGAGAGGCAGAGUCAGCGCCCCUAAUGUCAAGGCUCUGGAGUCGUCCUUCACCUACAGACAGCAGUGGAGGCAAUGUGGGAAGGGUCAGGGAAAGGAGUGCUCGGAAAUGGCAACAUGGCGCCUGUUUCACAUCUCUCCCUGCUGUCACAAACCUUUUCUUCUACUCAGUAUCUCUACCCAGGCCUCUCCUCACUCUGGGACCCUUCUGCCUUUGGUCAUUCUCUUCCUGCUGCUCAGGAAGUUCUCAUGCUCCUUCCCUCUGCCUGUUUAAGUAGAUAGAGCUUCAAGCCUUAAUAAAAAUCCUACUUCCUUUACAAAAUCUCUCAUGACUUCAGCCUCAGUGCCUUUCUGUGACCAUCCUUGUCAUACCAUGAAUAUCUUGCUCCUGCUAGUUAAUAUUUCAUGUUCUAGGAUAGUUUGAUAUGUGUGUAGCUCAUCUAUCAAACUGGCCAGUAAGCACUGUGAAGGCAGACACUGUGCCAUGCUUUUCUAUGACUUUUAAAACAUGGAGUGUUAAUCUUACUGGGGCAUCUAGGUGAGGUGGCGCACAUAUGUAAUCACAGCAUUCAGGAGGCUGAGGCAAGAGGAUCACUGUGAGCUGGAAGCCAGCCUGGGGAGCAUAGUGAGUUCAUUGCCAGCCUGAACAAUAUAGCAAGACCAUGUCUCAAAACAAAAAACAGAAAACAAACAAAACCUGCCCCUCCCAUUUUUUUUUAAUUAAAAAAAAUUUUUUUUGGUCUUUUUGAGACAGGGUGUCACCUUGCAGUUCAGGCUGGCCUUGAACUCACUGCUGGUUAGUGGUGGUAUGUGCCUAUAAUCCCAGAAUUUGGAAGGCUGAGGCAAGAGGAUCUCUGUGAGUUUGAGGUCACUGUAAGUCUGGACUAUAUAGUGAGACCCUGUUUCAAAAACAAGCAAACAAGCUGGGCAUAGUAGCACCCGCCUGUAGUCCCAGCACUUGGGAGGCUAAGGCAGUAGGAAUGCCAUGAGUUUGAGGCCAACCUGAACUAUACGGUAAGACCCUCCCUCAAAAAAACAAAAAACAAAUGAACAAAAAUAUGUAUAAUAAAAAUAAGUAUGCAACAGCAAAUAUAAAAACUGAUUCUAGGAGUGCAAUCCUAGACCCAACUCCCAGUAACAUUAAAAACAAAUCAUGCCUGGCAAGUGUGAGGUGGUGAAUUGAUGCCUAGAGGGACUGGGGAUUUAGCUUAGCAGCAUAAGCGCCUGCCUUGCAAGCAGGCAGUCUUGAGUUUGAUCCCCAGUACUGAUAAAAAUGAAAAAAGACCAAAAAAAAAAAAAAAAAAGAGAUUGAUGCCUAGUAUCAAAAAACCCAAACUUGAUUCUAGACAGAUAGGUAGGGCACAGGGGAAGACCAGGGUGGGUUGGGAGGAGAAGUCUAGUAGAUGGAUUAGAGAUAGAUAGAGGUCAUGAGGGAUGAGGGUAUGGCUGAAUGGUAGGACACUUACUUAGCAUAUGCAAGACCUGGGUUCUAUUCUCAGCACCACAAAAAAGAAAAAAGACUAUAGGAUUCAGCCAGCAUGGUGACACAAAGCUGUAGUCCCAGCUACAUGGGAGGCUGAGGUAGGAGGAUCACAAGUUUGAUGCCAGCUUGAACAUCUUAGUAUGACAGCAUCUCAGCAAGGGUUGAGGGUAUAGCUUGAUGGUAGAGAGCUUCUGGGUUCAGUCCUCAGUAAGACACACACACACACACACACACACACACACGCACGCACACACACACGCGCGUGCGCGCACAAUAACACAGAUCUGGGAAGAAAGAAUAAGGCAAAUAAGUGAUUAUCUCACCUGAACAUCAAGCUCCUGGCUGCGAGGAUCCUGCAGAAAGAAGCGGAAAGCUUCUUCCCACACUGGGCUGUUGGUGUUGUAGACAGCCUGGAGAUGGGGAGGACAGGCAAUGUGUGGAGACCACAGCACCAUUCUUGUUUCUCUAGCCAAUCUUUGCACUGGAAACACUGUAAAGGGGAGACUUUGCCCCCAAAAAUCUUCCUCCUACUCCAUGAUGCCCCCCACAAUGCAUCCUCACCUUGCUCUCCUGGGUCACAUCUUGAACUGACAGCUGUACCAUGGGGUUGGGCUCCUUGUUCCCCUUCUUCAGCUGUGGGAGCAGAAUUCAGAUGUUACAAUCUUAGGAAGGAAAGCAGCAUCACAGCAGAGUCUCCUCCCUGAGGUGGAUCGGAUCCCUUCUUUGGAAUCCUUGCAUUAUGUUUCUACUUCUGGAGAAAGCCAGGCAGGGACAGCUGCAUCCUCAGCAAGUAAAGAUGUGACAUUGCUGCACCCUGGGCUCCCUGCCCCCAUCAAGCCAAACUCACAGGAAGAUCCUGGGCUCGAUCCAGGUAGACAACUAGGAUGGCAGCUGAAGGAGGCUCUGGUUUAGAGGAGACUCCCCGAUUCCACUGUAGAACCUGGCAGGAGGCAGAGAGGUCAAGCCUUGGUCCUCCCAAUCCCUGUUCUUGCUUCUACCCAUGUGACUUACCUGCUCCAGUUUCUCUGCAUCUGGCAAAAGUGACAGCCAUUCUAACCUUAAGUGAACUUGGCCUUGGCCGCUUUGUAGAGGGUACCACUGAAGGGAGAAGUAGAAGAGAGGUCCAGUAGUGAUCAGAUAUCCACCCAUCCAUUUCCCCACCAACACAGAGGCUACUGUCUGCCCAAAGCAGGAGGUCAAUCCCACUGUUGUCCAUUUCUCCCAACUUACGUCAUCCAGUACUCCAGCUUGUAACACCUUCCCUACAUCCAGCUUCAUUCUGGGGUCAAGGAGAGGAGGUAGCAGUGAGAGGAGAAAAGGAUGCAAUGUCAUUGGUGCAUGGCAGUGGUCCUCUACUCAACCACCCAGAAGCACCUACAGAGCUCAGACUCCCUUCUCCUUAGACUUAGGAGAUACUUGCACGUGCAUGUGUGUGUGUGUGUGUGUGUGUGUGUGUGUGUGUGUGUGUGUGCAAAGUUAUUUAGGAUGGGGAAGAAAAAUAAUAGAAGAGUUCCAGAUCCAGAAAACAACUACAGUUACCUCUGGGACCUUAGGAGCACUGAAGCUUCAAAUCAUAACACAGACUGAGACUCACCUGCCCAGAAAAUCAUCCUUAUCUGGAUCCUUGUCAAACACCUCCACUUCAAUCUCCUGUCCCGGGACCUCGUGUACUAUCACCUGCAGCACACAGAGGGCUAAGGUCUCAUGGGCUGCAGCUGGAAGGCUCCUCAGCAUCUUUCCCACAGCUUCAAGAAGCCCUCUUCAUUUCCUCCAGCUCCAUUCUUCCUCUGCUUAAUACCUCGUAAGUCUCUCCCCACUGAGGGUUGAGCUCCUCAUUGAUGACACGACUGCAGAAUGUCUGGGUUCCCACACGCACAAGUGCAUAGGGGUCUGACUUGCCCUCAAUCAGGCCUUUCACAUAUUUGUCCUUGGAACUCAGCCCUCGAGCAGCCAGCAGGUGAAUCCGAAUAAUGCCCUGAAGUUAGGAAUUGAUGGGUCAGAAACAAAGGAGCCACCAUGGCAUUCUGAAGAGAAAGAGCUAGUUAAUCAGGGAGGGGCAUACCCUGGGCAGAGGAGAGCGCAACUGGGCUACAUCAUGAAGGUCAGGCACGAGAGGCACCAACAGUCGGUUGGGCAACACAAGGAAGGCAGCGAUGGAAUCCAUGAUCAUAGUGUCAGACAGAGAGCUGCAUGGGGGGUGGGUAGAAAAGGAACAUUGACCCCAACUUUCAGUUCUCCAUACCCAACUGCUUCCCAUUGCAAGACAGACCGAUAGCUUAUAAGGAAGUCUUUCUUGAAAAUCCUUUUGGUCACUCUUCUAUCCCAACUCCCCACCUACUUCACUGCCACCCCUGGCUGCUCUUCCUGCUCUUCUUUCUCCUGUUUGAGCAGUGUUCAGUCCUCUUUAUUCCCUACUAACAUGCAUGCUCCUGCAGAGAAAUCACAGUAGGAAACCCCUUGUCUACAGUGGAGGUCUCAGAGGGCACAGGCCGCAUCUUUUACUGCUUUGGAACACCAUACCCUCAAGCUAGGCCUGGAAUACUUAGCAAAUACUCAAUGAGUCCUUGAUACCUAAGUCCUGGGAUAUCCAGCAGGUUGGUCAUCCCUGUCCAGUUGAUGUCUAGAGUCUAGAAGGAAAGCGGGAGGGGUCAGGACAGAUCCUAUGGGACAUAGUCACACCCAUCCCAUGGUUGUCAAACUCACUGGCCUUUUGUCAAUUCUUAUUCUCCAUAGCUACCUACUGUCACCAUCCCAAUUCUGUUUCCUCUGCUUCCCCAUCCCUCUUAAUGAUUUUCCUUACCGGGCGUCGGAUAAAGAACAUUGACACAGCCCCCACAAUAGGAAGGUCUCCCAUGAGUGGCUCGAGAAUCACCCGCAAGAUGCCAUGUAGCUAGGGCAAGAAGAAAACACUGAAGUAUUUCCCCACCCUUGACUUUAACAACCUCCUGCUUUCCCAUAUCCCAUGAAACUUAGGGCGAAAAUUCCCUAUUAUGGGAGGCUCUGGCAUCUGUCCCACCUGCAUGCCCUUGACUCCUGCUUUGCAGAAAUACUUCUUUAUUUCCACAUCAAUCUGCACAUCACCUACAUAGCUGGGGGUUGGUGAGGAAGAGAGUAAUGGUUAGUAUUAGGCCAGUGCAGGGGUUAGGGCAGUGAAGUAGCCAGGAGUGAUCAGGACCCCCAAAAGGGAAGCAGGCAGUGGUGCUACCUGAUGUUCAAAUCCAGCAGGAUCUGAUCUUUUCUUUGGUUAGGGUGGACCUUUACUCCUAUGAUGCGCAAUGGCUAGAGAGAGAGCAGACCUUGAGAUAGCCAGGAGGGAAGGGAGGCAUACCUCAGUGUCUUCUGAGCUGCACCCCCUCCCGGUCUCAGUUCUUCCAACAAUACCUUUUCUCCCAGUUCCACUCGUGUGAAUGUAAAUGUUUGCAGAUGGGGAUUAGAUCCCCGAACAGCUGGUGCCACAGUUUCAGCCAGAAGCUUUUCCAUGUACUGUCCCAGGAAGGGCCAGACCUGGGCUACAAUCUGGAAGUGAGGACACAUGGUUAGAGAAGAUCCCCAUCUCUCCUCUGAAAGGAAAUUCUGUCAGAAUACUCUCUAUGGGCAGCACUGGGGACCAGGCUCAGCCUGGAAUUGAAGUGUGACAGGACCUGGCAAGAAGAAUGAAUUCUCAUUUUCCUCCCAUGAAAAAUAAAAACCUGAUCAGUUCUCA